Molecule: ribosomal RNA, 388 nt
Filed under: uncultured bacterium
Lineage: Bacteria
Description: bacterial SSU rRNA
Rfam family: Bacterial small subunit ribosomal RNA
Source: RNAcentral
AUUGAACGCUGGCGGCAUGCUUUACACAUGCAAGUCGAGCGGCAGCGCGGGGGGCAACCCUGGCGGCGAGCGGCGAACGGGUGAGUAAUGCAUCGGAACGUACCCUGGAGUGGGGGAUAACGCCGCGAAAGCGGCGCUAAUACCGCAUAUGCUCUGAGGAGGAAAGUGGGGGGACCGCAAGGCCUCACGCUCUGGGAGCGGCCGAUGUCCGAUUAGCUAGUUGGUGGGGUAAAGGCUUACCAAGGCGACGAUCGGUAGCUGGUCUGAGAGGAUGAUCAGCCACACUGGGACUGAGACACGGCCCAGACUCCUACGGGAGGCAGCAGUGGGGAAUUUUGGACAAUGGGGGCAACCCUGAUCCAGCCAUGCCGCGUGAGUGAAGAAGGCC